UCCUUGCGAAUGGCGCUCCCACAACAAUUCAGAGUCGUGUGUUCGUUCGCCGCGCUAUCCACGUCACCCCGAAAGCCACAAGCAGCCGGAAUUUGCGAGUGAGCGUACGUGGGGAGCAUCGGCUCUGGUCAUUUUGCAAAAAAAAAAAAAAGCCAUUGAUGUAACUAAUAAUUUGUAUAGGUCCCUCAUCAUUCGUUCCUCACUUUUGUAUUCUUACGCACCGACCUUCUAAAAUGUAAAAUAUUUUAUGGUAAGAAGGGAAAAUUAGGAAAAUAUAACCGCGCUUUGGAAAACAUAAAUAUUUUAUGUCAGAUGUGCGUCAAUCGUGCCAAUACUGAGGCCUGGGAGAUCUACUUAGCUCCAGUAUAGGACCGUAGAUCUUAAUUUGAUGAGGUACGGGCAUACCAGUUAGUUUGAUCCUACAAGAUGUUGAUAUAUCAGCGAUUAGCCGAUAGGUUGAAUGAUCGGUUGUUGGAGACUUGGAGACUCGAAUGCUGACGACGAUCGCAGGCUCGAAUCUCAAGUGUUUUGGCAUGCCGAUAGCUAAUAGCCGAUGGCUUGGUGUAGAAUCGGCUGAAGGAUCCAGUGCUAGUACUAAUGCUGAACGCCUUUGGUUGUUGACAUGAAAAAAAAAUUAACACAGUAAUGUAAGGGAUGCAACUAAGCGAACAAAAUGUGAGUUGUUAAACGAAAAUGUAAGGGAACCCAUGAGAAAAUAAGUUGCGAGAGCAAUUGACAGGACGCAGGGCUUUCUGUAUCAUCCCUCUGCAAACAUUUACAUUAGGCCCUUAAGUCAAUUGGAAGGCGUCAAUUUUGUACCAUGCAUCUCACAAUUAUUGUUUUGAGCUUCGAUUUGUUUCAACCUAGAUUUUCAAUCUUAUAUGGAAAUGUAGGAAAAGAUAUCAUCAUAGAUCUAUGCAUUAUGCCUGAAGUCAAUAGAUCACAUUAUUUUAAUGAGCCACACAAUUCUCAGUAUUCCAAUGCAAUUCAGCCUCAAGACAAAAAAAAAGUCAGCUCACAGUCAGGCUUAUAUUAAAACCCAUAUCAGAUGGAUCAGUAAUGAUUUGUGUAGAAUAUCUGUCAGCGUAAGAUUUCAUCUCGUACGCACGAGCGCCUGUGUCGCUGGCUGGCUAAAAUCCAUCUCCAGCAAGCGGCAGCAGUACCAUCACGCAAAGACGCACCUUGGAGAUUAUGUAUACCAUACAUCCAUACAAACAAUUUAUCCGACUAAAAAUAGGAGGAGGUGCGCCAUAUCCAUGUGUUACGUUAAUAGAAUAACAGCAUGUGGGGUUCGAGACAAGAAAAGCAUUUUCCUAUGUCACAAUAUAAAAUUUGCAAGCAUGUAAUAUUUCUAUAAGCGAACAAACUUUAAAAACCGAUCCAAACGCGGAUGGCGUACCACAAUACUGGUAAAAACAUAUUUAAUUUUAAAAUCAUUAGUAGAGAUUACGACGAAAACGUUUUGUUCUUUUUGUUUUUUUAAGGCAUUUUUUCUUUUUUUUAUUUUUCUUGUUUUUUCGCCCUUUUUAUUUUUUGGAUGGACUUUUUUCACGGAUUUUUUUGGUUUUUUCGACUGCCUUUUUUAAACCUUUUUACGUAUUUUAGGCCUUUUUUUUUACUUUUUAUAUAAAUCAUUGCAUACAAAUCCCGAUUUUUUUUCCUUACGAACGACUUGUUUUCAUCGUUUUAGGGGAAUCAGACUUUUCUUUUGGUGGACUUUUUUCACCUUUUUUUUCAUUUUUUAUGGACGGUUUUUUCACCCUUUUUACGGGGAAUCGGAAUCGGAUUUGUUCGCCCUUUUUUUUAAUUACGGGCGACAAACACGUUCCCAAUUAAUUCGCGUGGAUGAAAAUAUAAAAUUAAAACCGAUUUAAACAUGGAUGACGUACCAAAAUUCUAACAAAAACAUCUUUAAUUUUUAUCUCUACCUCUAUCUCUACUACUUAAAAAAUUGAAGAUGUUUCCUUCAUCUGUCCAAAUAAAAAAAAAGCGAAAAAACAACCUAAAAUAAAAAAGUAUGAUUCUCCUAAGAAGUGGCAGAAAAAAAACCGUAGAUCCGAUUCCCCUAUAAUUUUUGUCCAUUUUAUUUUCUUUUUGCGUUUCUUACUCUUUUUUUUUUCUUUCACCGUUUUUUCCUUUUCCUUUUCUCUUUCACCAUUUUUUUAUUUGCCUCCCCAUAUGUUUCCUCCUCCAAUUCAUUGUAAAAACCGAUUCCUCACUACUCAUUAUUUUCCCCUUGAAUUCCCCUUUCAAUUUGGCUUUAAUUCACCGAAUUGAAUCUCCAUUUCAUCGUCAUUAUUUUUUAUCUCGAGUUUUGUGGAUUGCUUCAAUUUUGAUAAAAAACGGAAAAAAGAGAUCGAUUAGAUCAAAAUCUCUCAACAAUUUUGAUUUGAUGGAGAGGAUCAACUCCAUUAUCAUACGUGCACAGGUUAUGCGAGAACAAUUUUGGAGAUGGAGAAAGAUUCAACUGGAUUUGAAGGAGAGGAUCGGCUCCAUCAUCGUACGGGCACGGGACUAUGCGAGAUUGAGUGGAUUACCAGAUUUUAUGGGAGGAUCGGCUCCGUCAUGGUACGGGACUAUGUGAGCUCGAGCGGAUUACCGGAUUUGAUGGGAGGAUCAGCUCCGUAAUGGUAUGGGUACGAGACUGUUCGAGCUGGGCCUAUAGCUCCACUUAUGGGUUGAGCCGAAGAGAGGUAGACCAAGCAGAGGGAAGGAAUGAGCGUUCGGUCCAAAACCAAGAAAGCAUCUGGUCCAAAACCAAGGAACCAAGGGAGUAUAAUGUAUAGGAUAAUAAACGUUUUUACCCGUUGCAACUCACGGGCAUUUUUUCUAUUAUACUCUCCGUUUCUAAAUAUUUGACGCCGUUAACUUUUUUAAAUAUGUUUGACCGUUCGUCUUAUUCAAUAAAUUUAAGUAAUUAUUAAUUCUUUUCCUAUCAUUUGAUUCAUUGUUAAAUAUACUUAUAUGUAUACAUAUAGUUUUACAUAUUUCACAAAAGUUUUUGAAUAAGACGAACAGUGAAAUAUGUGUUAAAAAGUCAACGGUAUCAAAUAUUUAGAAACGGAGGGAGUAAUAUAAUAGUAGAGAUAAGCCAGCCAAAACUUGUGCACUAACUUACUGAUUGGAUUCAGAUGCAGUAACAAAGUUUACUAGGCAAAAGAGUAGCACAAUUCUGAUCGGACAAAUACAAAUUUACCGGACUUAAAAUUAAGAAGUCAAAUUUUGUGCACAAAUCCUGAUUGGACUCCGAUUCAUUCCGACAAAAAAAAGCUACAAUUCUACUCCAAUUCGGACUCCCAAACGAGACAGCUCAAGGCUGGCGGCAGAGGCAGUAAUCCGGCGGCAGCGACGCGGGAGAGACCUUCGCGAUCUGAGGCGGCGACGGGGACGUCAGCCGCCGUCCCUCCCAGACGUCCCAGCGCCCGAUCAAAGCCUCCGGCCAGCACACGCUUCUGAUCAGCAAACGGACGAAACCAACUCUGAUUUCUGAAUCAAAUCUAUUUCCAGAUCGAGCGAAAUCCCUGCUGUAUAAAGCGCAAUGACACCACGACUCUGAUUCCUGAAACUGAAAGGGACUAGCCGAUUGCUAGAUCUCUUGGUUCCCUGCUGCACAAAACCCAGCCACCAAGACAGAAGGAUCAAUACACCUGGAGAGUAAAAGAAAACCAGAAAAACAAACACAUAUGGCCGCGAAAUCCGACGACCACUCGCUGCCGCCGGGCUUCGGCACGAGGCCAUGGCUGGUGCAGGGAUCACGCGGCGACACGCUGACUUUCGUCGAUGUGUCAGACCUCAGCCUGCACGAGACCGUUGUUCCUGAGGUUCGAGGGAAGACGUGCUUGGGCGGCAUGCACGGUGACUGGCUGCUGAUGCUGCACGAGUCUACUGCCGAUUGCUUCCUCCUACGCAUCAGCACCAAUCCACGGACCAAGAUUCAGUUGCCGCCGUUGCAUCAGCCUCUGAAUUUUCUAUCAACAAUCAAGAUGCUCGAGUCACCGGAUAGCCCGAAGUGCACCAUCUUAAUUGCCAGCUCACCGGAGGUGGAAGAAGAGAGCUACCUUCUAUACUGCCGCCCCGGUGAAGACGAGUGGACCAAACUGGUUUCCCCGUUCAAUGACAUCCAUCUCUCUGCUUUUAUGUGCAACUACGAAGGAAAGAUCUGUUCUGCUUGUUCUAAUCUCGUAGUGAUAGAUAUGGUGGAUGGUAAGAUACAACUACAGCGAGUGGGUACCAUCAAGGAUGAAGAAAAAUAUGCCCGUGGAAGUGGUUGUUACCAUGUUGUCGAGUCAUGUGGAAAGUUGUUUCUCUUGUGGAUAGAAGAGCUCGGGUGCUUUGGGAACGAUGGAUUGCUCACCGCCAUUGAUGUUUUUUGCUUGGAUCUUGAGUUGAUGUCAUGGGAGAGGGUGGAGAGCAUUGGCAGCGACCGUACCUUUCUUAUCUCUGAAAAUUACACUUUCUCAUGUCCUUCAAUAGAAGGUGUAUUGCAAGGAAACUGUGUUUAUCUUGUAUGGUCAAGCUGCGACAGUGAGAGGCUUUAUAAGUUCUGCUUGGACGACAUGACCAUUAGCUUCCAACAGAUUCUUUCUCAACCUACAAAACCCUGGUGUAGAGCAUUUUGGACUGUUCCAGCAAGGUGAGUUGAUUCAGCACACACGACUAUUUUUUAGCAUUGUCUGCAAUAGUUUUUUUUUUCCAAAAAGACCACAUUUUACUGAAUCAUGUAUGAGUAUGACUAUUGUUAAUAUGCAACUACAGCAUCGAAUCAAUCUUGCCCAUGGAAAUAUCAGACAAGCCAAAUAGUCUUCUAUCGACAAAGGUUUGUAAAUCCGUGCAAGUAUGUUGCAGUGAAAAACUAAUUCCCUUUAUACUAGUAAAUACGGAGUAGUAACUAAAACUAUUCUUUUUUCUUCUUUUUAGCUGUCAAAGGAUAUUCUACUCAAUGACCUUGAUGAGCACGAUGGACUGGGGAAUUCUUUAUGUCUAUGGGAACAUCUACCAGUAGACUUGCUAGAGUUAAUUGUCUCAAACUUAUCCUUGGUAGACCGCAUACGAUUUCCAACUGUUUGCAUGGCAUGGAGCAAGGUGUCGAAUCCAAUAGAGCAAGCAAAAGUUUGGCCUUGGCUAAUGCACAUCUCUAAGCAAGAUGGGAUGUGUAGGUUGUUUGACCCUCUACGCGGUGAGGUGUACAACAUGCAAGUCUCAAUAUUUGACACUAAUGAAGAUCGACACAUUUUUCGCUCCUCCAAAGAUGGUUGGGUGUUCACAUCAGCUGGGAUCUAUGGUCACGAUAUAUUCAUCAUAAAUCCUUUCACUGAGGAUAUUGUGGAGCCUCCUAUGUUCGAACGUAGAUACCACUACAACGGUGUAUCCUUUUCUUCACCAAAUCCAAUGUGUCCAAACUGUUAUUUUUUUGGGAUCAACAGUAGUCUCAGCGGGAAGUUUCUCAACAUUCAUACGUGGCGGCAUGAAGAAACUGAAUGGAUCGAGCAACGCUUUGAGUACGAUGUGCCAUUCCCAGUAGGUUACAAUAACCCCGUCAUGUUUUGUGGGAAGUUCUACUGCCUCGGAAGGAAGGGCAACCUUGGUGCCUUUGAUCCAACAAGCAAUACUUGGGAGAUUCUUGACAAGCCAGAGCCGAUCCAUGUUGAGAUGGAUCUCUUACAAAAUGAUCAUAGGGGAAGAGAGUUCUGCUACUUGGUUGAUUUAGAAGGAGAACUGAUAUCUGUACUCUUGCAUAAUGCCAGUGAGGCGCCUCGAGUGUUCAAACUUGAUUUGACAAAAAUGUCCUGGGUUGAAGUAGAGGACAUUGGUGGUGGUGCCUUGUUUCUUGAUCACAGGACAUCGCAUGGUGUAGGAUCUCCCGAUGGUGGUCAUGGAAAUAGGAUAUACUUCCCUAGAUAUUCUGUGGAUAGAAAACCAGUGUUCUAUGAUAUGGAUAACAAGAUGUACUACCCAUCAUUUUAUGGUCACAUUGAGCCAUUGAACUGUGUGUGGGUUGUGCCUAAUCUGCACAAAAAUGAAUCAACAUCCGAAGAUUGACCCAAGCGUGUGUAAUUGAGCAUAUAGUGCUUCUUUUUUUUCUUUUUUUUUUUUGCAAAUUGUCAAAUAUGGAACCACGAGUACCUCUAUUUGCCUCAAUCGUAUUGCUCCACAAAUAUGGUUUUUACCUGUUUUUACAUGAUCUCUGCUAGACUGCUACAGUAAGUUGCAGGUUUUACAAUUCAUGUACGGGGUCAAGUGUGGUAUAAUUCUUCCUUGAUGAUAUGCUAUAAUUGGAUCUCGUUGCAGCAGCUAUUUUUGUGCUGUUAGAGAUAUUGGAGUUACUUUAAUUAUUGUGUGCAUGGUGCCACACGCUGCACAUAUUCAGGCGUUCUUGAAUGGCGCCACACGUUUAGGCGUAGUUGAAUGAUAUGAAGAUUUAGCAAAACUAUCGAUAUCCUACGAUAUUUGGAUAGUGAUAACUUGCUAGUUCUUGUGGGAAUCAAGCAAUCCAUGGUAUGAAAAUUUUGCUUGAACCAUCAAGCAAUUAGGAAAAACUGGGGCAAGAUUUCACAGGUUGUGAAAUAUAUUUUGUCAAAUCAGGUUUUAGAGCAGGAAAUAUAUGAGAUAAAUCUGUAGGGGCUUGAAAUUGAAAUGUUGAUUGUUCGCCGUGAUUUUACAGCAUAAGAAAUAUAAUGCUGCUAGAAAUUUGAUGAAAAGUCAGGGAUUAUAACUACCAAGCAAUCAGAACAAGGUCUUGCAAAUUACAUGCUUGCUUCUCAUAAAGUGUCCAUGAUUCUCAGAUGGGUUAUCACAAAGAGAUUUGCUCCGGUCCGGCAAAAAGUAUCUCAAGAUACUGGUACCUCAUUGUACUAAAUCAUUUUCGGUCGUUGGAUCUAGCUGGGUAGAAUGAGAAUUGUUAAAUCUAACAGUCGGAAACGAGGUACCAUAAGGUACCGGUAUUUCGAGAUAUUUUUUUUGUUGGACCGGAUCGGAGCAAACCUCUAUCACGAAACAUAUACUGUUCAGGUGAACCAUUGAUGCACUGCUUUUCUUGAAAGGAAACUCCCAUUUUUUUUAACUGAACUUCUCAUCGAUGCACAAUUAUACUUACUCCCGUUUAUUACCCGAACUUGUCAAUAUACCAACUGAGCCAUAAUCCAUAAAUAUACCGGCGCCCAAUUGAUGCAUAUUUUUCUCCGUUGCAAUGCACCAACAUCCAAGUAGUAAUUCAGUAUUCCUUGCAGAAAAAAUAGUACUCCCUCUGUUUCAGGUUAUAAAACGUUUUGACUUUAGUCCAAGUCAAACUACUCUAAGUUUGACUAAUUUUAUAAAAAAAAAUAUAAUAUUUUUAACCCAAGAUAAAUAUAUUAUGAACAUUUAUUUUUAUUCAAUUAUAGAUUUAAUGAAACUAUACUGGUGUUGUAAAUAUUACUAUUUUUUUCUAUAAAAUUAGUCAAACUUAGAGUAGCCAUCUUAUAACCUGAAACGGAUGGAGUAAUUCAGUAUUAAAUAUGAAGGGGAUUUUUGGAGUACAUUAAAGUGGACACUAGCUAUUUAUUGGGUUAGAUCCAACGGAGAUGCUGUCCUACUGCACCCGGUAGUAGUGCAGUAGAAUUGGUGGAGGGGUAAAUUUGUACUCCAUGUGGUAUGGGUAUGUUUGUGUUAGAUUGAUCUCUGGCCAUCGAGUCAGAGAAUUGCUCUAAUGGGCUUGGCCCACCCCAAGCCCACGCGCACCUAACGUUAAGGACCGAUUCCCUCGGUCCCGAAUACACGUCGCUCUUUCUAGCGCUAUGAUCGGAAGCGUUUUUUUCCUCAAGAAGAAAUCGCCCCCGAUCCCCUUAAUACGCAUAUAAAGGGAACCUUGACUCACGGGUACGAGGGUCUACUCACACACUCUAAGCCUUCCCAAAACCCCUAAGAUUACCCUCAGACUAUCGAUCUUAAGGCGUAUUGGAGGGGAGCGAAGGGCGAAUUCCCAUCGCCGCCACCGCACGGUGAUCUCCAUCACCGGCUCCUCACGGCGACUACACCAACGCAUCUAAGGCGAUCAAUGGCUUCUUCAUCCGGUUAGUAUACCACCAAAUUCCGCAUAUGAGAUAUUAGGUGAUCAUGCAUAGCCUAGGUUUAUGAAUUUAAGAUUUAAGUACAAUAUUGUGGUAUCAGAGCCUUCUUAGGCCUUUGCAUGUUCCAUCACUCCGGUGGUGAAGCCACUAAGCCGCAUCAAGUCUCCCUAAGCGCCGGCUUGUUAAAGUUUUAGGGUUUAUGUUCUGUUAGGUUUUGUUCAUGUCGCAAUUAAGUUCAAUUUUGUGAUUCAUGUUCUGUUGAUCGAUAUUAGACUAAGUUUUAUGUUUAGAUUGCUAUCCCUACUCAGUUUAUGGCUUGGGCAGCAAUUGGAAGGAGGGGACUCAGAUCGGGGUUGAGAUUAAGAAAAUCCCCAAUUUUUUUCCCCAAGUUCCUAAAACCCGAAACCCUAAUUUCUGAAAUUUCCCCAAAUUAAGAACAAAGCAUGAUGAAUUCUCGAAUUAGAUUGAUCCCGAUUGGCAAUUUCCCAAAUCAUGAGAAAACCCUAAGGAAUUGGGACUCACCGAUUUGGGGCUCAGGUCGUCGGAGUCUCGCCGCGCGUGGCAUGAGCACCGCCGUGCGCGUGUGUCUCCGAGCUCCUCACUGUCUUCAUGCGAAUGGCGCAUGGCUUCACGCGUCGCCGUGCAUCCCCUUAGCCGCCAUCUCGGACCGGCCUCACGCUCGCAUCAGUCCAUCGCCGCGUGAGGUCGAGGCUCGCCUCGGUGUGGCUCCGGCCGCACCUAGGAGGAGGACCGAGGCGGGAGGAUGAGACGACGUGCGGCAUCAGCGUCGCCGCACGUCGCCAUCAAGCACGCCGCCGACUGGGGCCUCCGCAUCGCCGCUCCACCGGUGACCCACCGCCGUUAGCUUGCACGGAUUUUGCUCCGCCGGUGCGCCGUGGUUUUGACCGCCGCCUAAGCCGUGCGUGGCAUUAGCUUGCCGCGCAUGCGGGGGCCUCAGCGACGCCGCUCCGCCGGCGAGCCACCCGCCGCCCGUCUCUUCCCACCAGAGCCGUGCACGGCAUUAGAGCGCCGUGCACGGGGGCCUCGGCGUCGCCGCUCUGCCGGUGAGCCGCCGCCCCGCUCUCGCCUCUUCCCACCGGUGUUCGUAGAUGUCUCGACAUCACCGGAACAGCAUGUGGGUUGAUUCGUGUUGCCGCGAAUCGCGUGGAACGGCGGCGCUACUACCAACCACUGCCGCGACGCCGUCACCGCCGCCGCUGCCCCAACCCACCCCACCACCGUGCCGCCACCGCCGCCGCCGCCGUCCCCACCGUUGUGCUACCGUAGAGAGUUAGGUUUGGGGAUGGAUCCUUUUGAAUCGGGGUCCUGUGCUGUUGAACAAUUUGAGGGCUGAGAUGCUAAAGUUUGUCACUAGGCGGGGUGUUUCCUGAACAUUUCAACAUGGGGUGACGUGGACUUAUCUGGAACCUACAUUUUCCAUCCAAGUGUGGUUUCUAUGUUUGCACUGGAGAUGGUGUUUCCACUAUAUAUCUUCUCGACCAACGUGGCCUAAAUCAUAAAGGAAGUUGGUUGGUGCGCAUACUCAACCGAUGCAUGCAUCCGAACCUAGCUCGGUCAACUCGACAACUCGACGCUGGGCUGCGGUGCGCGCGACCGAAC
Molecule: long non-coding RNA, 9665 nt
Filed under: Oryza sativa (Asian cultivated rice)
Lineage: Eukaryota; Viridiplantae; Streptophyta; Magnoliopsida; Poales; Poaceae
Description: long non-coding RNA (OSAT_LNC001534)
Source: RNAcentral